Molecule: ribosomal RNA, 1443 nt
Filed under: Triticum aestivum (bread wheat)
Lineage: Eukaryota; Viridiplantae; Streptophyta; Magnoliopsida; Poales; Poaceae
Description: partial small subunit ribosomal RNA
Source: RNAcentral
AUGGUGAAGAUCUGCUGCAUCGGAGCUGGCUACGUCGGCGGCCCAACCAUGGCCGUCAUUGCCAUCAAGUGCCCGGCGAUCGAGGUUGUUGUCGUCGACAUCUCCAAGCCCCGCAUUGACGCCUGGAACAGCGACACCCUCCCCAUCUACGAGCCCGGCCUCGACGACGUUGUCAAGGCCUGCAGGGGCAAGAACCUCUUCUUCAGCACUGAUGUUGAGAAGCAUGUCGCCGAGGCCGACAUCAUCUUUGUGUCCGUGAACACCCCCACCAAGACCCGCGGCCUGGGAGCCGGCAAGGCCGCCGACCUCACCUACUGGGAGAGCGCCGCCCGGAUGAUCGCCGACGUGUCCAAGUCGGACAAGAUCGUCGUCGAGAAGUCCACCGUGCCUGUCAAGACCGCCGAGGCCAUCGAGAAGAUCCUGACCCACAACAGCAAGGGCAUCAACUACCAGAUCCUGUCCAACCCGGAGUUCCUCGCCGAGGGCACGGCGAUCGAGGACCUGUUCAAGCCCGACAGGGUGCUCAUCGGCGGCCGGGAGACCCCCGGGGGCCAGAAGGCCGUCCAGGCCCUCAAGGAGGUGUACGCCCACUGGGUGCCCGAGGCGAACAUCAUCACCACCAACCUGUGGUCGGCCGAGCUCUCCAAGCUGGCCGCCAACGCGUUCCUGGCGCAGAGGAUCUCGUCCGUGAACGCCAUGUCGGCGCUGUGCGAGGCCACCGGCGCCAACGUGUCGGAGGUGUCGUACGCCAUCGGCAAGGACUCGCGGAUCGGGCCCAAGUUCCUGAACGCCAGCGUGGGGUUCGGCGGGUCGUGCUUCCAGAAGGACAUCCUGAACCUGGUGUACAUCUGCGAGUGCAACGGCCUGCCGGAGGUGGCCAACUACUGGAAGCAGGUGAUCAAGAUCAACGACUACCAGAAGAGCCGGUUCGUGAACCGGGUGGUGUCGUCCAUGUUCAACACGGUGUCCGGCAAGAAGAUCGCGGUGCUCGGGUUCGCGUUCAAGAAGGACACGGGCGACACCCGGGAGACGCCGGCGAUCGACGUGUGCAAGGGCCUGGUGGGCGACAAGGCCCAGGUGAGCAUCUACGACCCGCAGGUGACGGAGGAGCAGAUCCAGCGGGACCUGGCCAUGAACAAGUUCGACUGGGACCACCCGAUGCACCUGCAGCCGACCAGCCCCACGGCGGUGAAGCAGGUGAGCGUGGUGUGGGACGCGUACGAGGCCUGCAAGGGCGCCCACGGCGUGUGCAUCCUCACCGAGUGGGACGAGUUCAAGAAGCUCGACUACCAGAAGAUCUUCGACAACAUGCAGAAGCCGGCCUUCGUCUUCGACGGCCGCAACGUGGUCGACGCCGAGAAGCUCAGGGAGAUGGGCUUCAUCGUCUACUCCAUCGGCAAGCCGCUCGACGGCUGGCUCAAGGACAUGCCCGCCGUGGCCUAA